CUUCACCGAACCCAGCCACAGCGGCUGCUCGCGGUCCUGGCCGUAGGUGGCCAGAAGUGCCUGCGCCUC
Molecule: antisense RNA, 69 nt
Filed under: Allokutzneria albata
Lineage: Bacteria; Bacillati; Actinomycetota; Actinomycetes; Pseudonocardiales; Pseudonocardiaceae
Description: Kibdelosporangium albatum ASpks TB sRNA
Rfam family: ASpks TB sRNA
Source: Rfam by way of RNAcentral